CAGAGGGUGCGAGCGUUAAUCGGAUUUACUGGGCGUAAAGCGUGCGUAGGCGGCUUUUAAGUCGGAUGUGAAAUCCCCGAGCUUAACUUGGGAAUUGCAUUCGAUACUGGGAAGCUAGAGUAUGGGAGAGGAUGGUAGAAUUCCAGGUGUAGCGGUGAAAUGCGUAGAGAUCUGGAGGAAUACCGAUGGCGAAGGCAGCCAUCUGGCCUAAUACUGACGCUGAGGUACGAAAGCAUGGGAGCAAACAGGAUU
Molecule: ribosomal RNA, 252 nt
Filed under: uncultured bacterium
Lineage: Bacteria
Description: partial 16S ribosomal RNA
Rfam family: Bacterial small subunit ribosomal RNA
Source: RNAcentral